UACGUAGGGGGCAAGCGUUGUCCGGAGUUACUGGGCGUAAAGGGCCCGCAGGCGGUCGUGUAAGUUUGUACUGACAAUCCCGUGCUUAACGCGGGAGGGUGUAUGAAAACUGCACGACUUGAGGAUGAGAGAGGGACAGGGAAUUCCGGGUGGAGUGGUGAAAUGCGUAGAGAUCCGGAGGAACCCCGAAGGCGAAGGCACUGUCCUGGCUCAUUCCUGACGCUCAGGGGCGAAAGCUAGGGGAGCGAACGGG
This 253-nucleotide ribosomal RNA is filed under the name uncultured prokaryote. Its description in RNAcentral is "partial 16S ribosomal RNA". It matches the Rfam family "Bacterial small subunit ribosomal RNA", at positions 524 to 776 of the family's 1533-position model. The record is from RNAcentral.